GAUGAACGCUGGCGGCGUGCUUAACACAUGCCAGUCGAACGGAGAGGCUCCUGCUUUCAGGGGUACUCAAGUGACUAACGGGUGGGUAACAAGUGGGUGAUCUACCCGCCCCUUCGGGAUAAGCCUGGGAAGCUGGGGAUAGUUACGGAUAGGUCCAUGGUUUUGAUGCCAUUGUGGAUAGUUUUUCGGUGUGGGAUGCGCUCGCGGCCUAUCAGCUGGUUGGGGAUGUAUUGGCGUACCAAGGCGUCGACGGGUCGCCGGCCUGAGAGGGUGUACGGCCACAUUGGGACUGAGAUACGGCCCAGACUGAUACGGGCGGCAGCAGUGGGGAAUAGUGCGCACUGGGCGGAAGCAUGAUGCAGCGCCGUCGCGUGGGGGAUGACUGCCUUCGGGUUGUAAACUCCUUUCGCUAGGGAGGAAGCGGAAGUGACGGUACCUGGAGAAGAAGCACCGGCUAACUACGUG
Molecule: ribosomal RNA, 465 nt
Filed under: uncultured bacterium
Lineage: Bacteria
Description: partial 16S ribosomal RNA
Rfam family: Bacterial small subunit ribosomal RNA
Source: RNAcentral